UGGGGAAUAUUGGGCAAUGGGCGCAAGCCUGACCCAGCAACGCCGCGUGAAGGAAGAAGGCUUUCGGGUUGUAAACUUCUUUUAUGAGGGACGAAAGAAAUGCGGUACCUCAUGAAUAAGCCACGGCUAACUACGUGCC
Molecule: ribosomal RNA, 139 nt
Filed under: uncultured bacterium
Lineage: Bacteria
Description: partial 16S ribosomal RNA
Rfam family: Bacterial small subunit ribosomal RNA
Source: RNAcentral